The submitters of this non-coding RNA (92 nucleotides) gave its source as unclassified sequences. The record is from Rfam.
UGAUAGCGUUGAAGCGUGAGGUUGCCGCUUAGUGAGAAAUCACAUAGCGGGUUUUCCGUGGAGCGAAUGUCAAGUUAGGAAACUGGCGACAA